Molecule: ribosomal RNA, 460 nt
Filed under: uncultured bacterium
Lineage: Bacteria
Description: partial 16S ribosomal RNA
Rfam family: Bacterial small subunit ribosomal RNA
Source: RNAcentral
CCUACGGGAGGCAGCAGUGAGGAAUAUUGGUCAAUGGGCGGAAGCCUGAACCAGCCAAGUCGCGUGAGGGAAUAAGGCCCUACGGGUCGUAAACCUCUUUUGCCGGGGAGCAAGGGCGGGGACGUGUCCCGGCCCGGAGAGUACCCGGAGAAAAAGCAUCGGCUAACUCCGUGCCAGCAGCCGCGGUAAUACGGGGGAUGCGAGCGUUAUCCGGAUUUAUUGGGUUUAAAGGGUGCGUAGGCGGGCUUUUAAGUCAGCGGGAAAAAUGCGGGGCUCAACCCCGUCCGGCCGUUGAAACUGGGGGCCUUGAGUGGGCAAGAAGAAGGCGGAAUGCGUGGUGUAGCGGUGAAAUGCAUAGAUAUCACGCAGAACCCCGAUUGCGAAGGCAGCCUUCCGGCGCCCUACUGACGCUGAGGCACGAAAGUGCGGGGAUCGAACAGGAUUAGAUACCCCAGUAGUC